AACAGAGGGUGCAAACGUUGUUCGGAAUUACUGGGCGUAAAGCGCGUGUAGGCGGCUCUGCAAGUCGGGUGUGAAAUCCCAUGGCUCAACCAUGGAAGUGCACUCGAAACUGCAGGGCUAGAGUCCUGGAGAGGAAGGUGGAAUGCUUGGUGUAGAGGUGAAAUUCGUAGAUAUCAAGCGGAACACCGGUGGCGAAGGCGGCCUUCUGGACAGUGACUGACGCUGAGACGCGAAAGCGUGGGGAGCAAACAGG
Molecule: ribosomal RNA, 253 nt
Filed under: uncultured bacterium
Lineage: Bacteria
Description: partial 16S ribosomal RNA
Rfam family: Bacterial small subunit ribosomal RNA
Source: RNAcentral